UACGUAGGGGGCUAGCGUUGUUCGGAAUUAUUGGGCGUAAAGGGCAUGUAGGCGGUUAUGUAAGUGUGAGUUGAAAGACUGAAGCUUAACUUUAUGUUUGGCUUGCAAACUGCGUAACUAGAGUGCAGGAGGGGAGACUGGAAUUCCGCGUGUAGGGGUAAAAUCUAUAGAUAUGCGGAAGAAUACCGGUGGCGAAGGCGAGUCUCUGGCCUGUAACUGACGCUAAUAUGCGAAAGUGUGGGGAGCAAACAGG
RNAcentral lists this ribosomal RNA (253 nucleotides) under uncultured bacterium. RNAcentral describes it as "partial 16S ribosomal RNA". It matches the Rfam family "Bacterial small subunit ribosomal RNA", at positions 524 to 776 of the family's 1533-position model. The record is from RNAcentral.